CACCCACCCCCUCAUCUCUCAGGUUUUAUUCCACUUCUUUGAGCAGUGGACACAUUCUUGCCAGUCUCAGUGUUUUAAUUUAAUUUGGGCACAGACUAUAUAAAAUUGAACAGAUGUCUGAAAGCAGUGGAGAGAAGACCAUAAAAUGAAACACGUGCUCAGCUCCAUUUGAAACAAGCAAUGCUGUAUUUUUUUUGUCCCCAUUGCCACAAAAGUCACACAUGACUUGGAGGUGUGUGACAAGAGGAUCCAACAGGGGAAGAGGAGGGAUUUUUUGCAGAGAUCUAAAAGUGGAAAACAUUUUUGUUAAAAGCAGUGACAUCAAUGAAGUAAAUUAAGUGGGAUUAAACAUAAAGCCCAUGAAGUUAUCAGUGCCUGUGACUACAGCCAACAGUGUGACA
Molecule: long non-coding RNA, 401 nt
Filed under: Zonotrichia albicollis (white-throated sparrow)
Lineage: Eukaryota; Metazoa; Chordata; Aves; Passeriformes; Passerellidae
Description: lncRNA (ENSZALG00000017104.1)
Source: RNAcentral